GGGUGUAUAGCUCAGUGUGGUAGAGCAUUCGACUGCAGAUCGGAAGGUCCCCGGUUCAAACCUGGGUGCCCCCU
Molecule: non-coding RNA, 74 nt
Organism: Trichonephila inaurata madagascariensis
Lineage: Eukaryota; Metazoa; Arthropoda; Arachnida; Araneae; Nephilidae
Source: the annotation of a GenBank genome assembly